UAUCAGACAUGCGCAGCCGCAGAUCUGCCCUGCCUACUUUCGCGCUCUUUCCAACACCUUUCUCAUUUAUUUUCGCCAUUGUGGGUUUAUUUGUCCUCAGCACACUGAUUUGGCUGAAGCAAAUGGUCAGAAGUCCACACAUACCUCAGUCUCUGCAAUUACAGGUCAACCAGAGCAGUAUUCUCUAAUGCAGUGGACUUGUAAGUACUGCACAUUUUCUGCUGGAAAGAGAGGCUACUUGCUUAAGCAUUACCGCUUAAAACAUGGAUACCACACUCGGACAUCCCUACUCCCCAUGUCUUCAUAAGGACUGCCUCUGCACAUUUAAAUCUUUUAAUGCACUCAAAGUA
Long non-coding RNA from Corythoichthys intestinalis (scribbled pipefish), 350 nucleotides. RefSeq lists it as uncharacterized. The record is from RefSeq and is a predicted model, not a curated record. The transcript has 3 exons. Lineage: Eukaryota; Metazoa; Chordata; Actinopteri; Syngnathiformes; Syngnathidae.